GUGAAGUUGAGGUUUGCAUUAGAUUUUGAGAUUUGGGUUUAUAGUUUAGGGUUUUGGGUUUAUAUUUGGGUUUAGGAUUUAGUGAUUAGUGUUUAGGGUUUAGCAAUUUCGUUCUCAAACUUGGUCAUUUGGAAAAUGUAAAUGGAGUGGACCCGUACUUCUAAACUAUUUAUAGAGGUUUCAUACUAUGUCGUGUACAUUGAGAAAAUUGAGAAUGUAUUAUAUAGAUUUUGUUUGGGUUUAUAUUUUAGUUAUUUGGGUUUAGAUUUAGUAACUAGGGGUUUGUCUAGGGUUUUAGUAUUUAAGUGGGUGAGUAGAGUUUAGUGUUUAGGGUUUAGUGGUUAGGGUUUAGGGUUUAGUAAUUUCCUUCUCAAACUAGAGUUUAGGGUUUAGAGUUUAUAUGUCAUGUCUUCAAAUUUGAUAUUUUUCUUCUAUGCCCUUUUGUAUGAUUGUUCGUUCAAAUGUUUGACAAUGUUAGGGUCAAGUCUAGUUCAAGAACGUCUUUUUCAUCAACAAGUAAUUUUAUUUCUUCUCGUACUAUUUUACAUAUGAUACUCAACUAAUAUAAAUAGAAUAAACAUUUGUAAACUAUUUUACACAAUGUCCAUACUAU
RNAcentral lists this long non-coding RNA (613 nucleotides) under Brassica napus (rape). Its description in RNAcentral is "long non-coding RNA (BNAP_LNC016577)". The record is from RNAcentral. Lineage: Eukaryota; Viridiplantae; Streptophyta; Magnoliopsida; Brassicales; Brassicaceae.